GAGAAGACAAAAGCCAUCAGGGUGGGCCGAAUGAUCUCCAGCCUCCCCCCCUCCCCCCCGUUUUGUUUGUGUUUGCCUUUUAGAGGUGUUCGUUUGUGUGUUUGUUUGUUUGUUUGUUUUAAUAAAAUUGUGUGUGUGUGUGUGUGUGUGUGUGUGUGUGUACACGUGUGCCCGCGAGUGUAUGCAGGUACCCUAGGAGAUCAGAAGAGAGUAUCUAUCAGAUCCUGUGGCUCUGGAGUUACAGGCUGCCUUACAUGGUCACUGGCAAGUGAAUUCUGAUCCUAUGGAAGAGCAAUGAGUGCUCUUAACCACUGAUCCAGCCUUUGUGUAUGUUUUAGAACAGGGUCUUACUCUGUGGCCCCAGCUGGCCUCUUAAGUACCAGUCAUCUUGCCUCAAGCCUGCUGAGUGCUGAGACUGCAGACAUCUGCCACGACGCCUGGCUAAGAUCCAGUCGUCCCAACAAGCCAGGGAGAGAGCCAGGGUGGUGAAGGUUUGUGUUCCCAGAAAACCCCAGGGUUCAAGCCCCACCAAGACCCUUUUCCUGGGCCAGGACUUCAGAUCCACCGGAAAGCGCACAGAUCUAGGCUUCCCACAGUCUCCAGCAAGGUCUCUUGCAUUUAACAGGGAGACGAGAAUCUCACGCCUACACUCAUUCCCGUCAGGCAUCGGAUAACACACUUGUCAGCCCACAUGUUAAACCAGAAGGAAGGACAUGUCUGGAAAAGAAGGAGAGAGGAAUCCAUCCCGUGGCGACUGCACAGCAAAGGGCAGAGCAGCCUGUGCUGCGGGCAAAGGGUUAGGCAAAAGCACUUGAAGCAAUGGGUGGCCCACAGUUUGGACAGGCAGGAACUGAUAGCUGCUGAGCAGGAGGAAGGAGAGGAGAGAGGGAAACCCACCUCAGGUUUUUGGUAGGGUGAAGUGGGGUAGGACUGUGUGUCUCGAGGGGAGGGAUGGCUCCACCCCCUUGCCCAGAGUCCCUGUGUCUACAACUAUAUGGGCACAGUCUAGCAGAGGGAAUGUAGGGUGAACUGCUGGGUCUCCAGGGCUGACCCCUUAGCAAAGUGGAGCUGGCAGCUUCUGCUGACUCAAGGACAUUUCCAGGCUUGACCUUAAGGCCAAUUAAAAACAGCUGCUUCUCUUGGCUGGCAGCCCCUGAGCCAGGCUCUGGCUCUCCCUGGAAUGACAGCCUCACCUCUCCCUCUAUGUGACCUGGGGAGGGGACUAAUAAGAGGGAUGCUGAAGGACUGAAGGCCACACUGCAAUCUUUAGGUCAGAUCUCCCCCCCCCCCCACCCCCUAGAGUCACCAGCUCUCCAAGAGCUAAGCCAGAUGGUGGCCGGGGCCCCAGUUUCAGAUUCCAGUGUCUGGCCUUUGGGCCUGCGGUUCCCCAGCCUGGAACACCCUCCUGUCCUCGCCUCUGCUCCAGCGAGCCUUCAGGAUUUCGUAGCACAUGCCUUUCGUUCAACAGCGAUUUCCUGAGUCUGCUGCUGCAUGUCAGGCACCGGGCUCAAAUUAGCUCCUCAACCGCUUCCUUCAGCAGCAAUGUCUUCAGCUUGUCCUAGAGAGCAGCCGGUUAGCUAAGGGCUCCCACCUCUGGCCCGGUCUGCUCUGGAGGAGUCUGGUAAGCUUCAGGGGCAGCGAGGAGGUUUCUGUGGAGAAAUAAAACCCGCCUUGCCACAUUGCUUUAAAACCCACUCUCUGUCUGUGCAUGGGAAUAAGUUUCCAUGGUGAUAGCCCGGACAUCUGAGACAUGGAAAGGGUGGACCACCGCUUUGGCAGUACCAGAGAGAUUCCUGCUAUACUCUGGUGACCUGGAAAGCCUCUUUCCAUCCAACACCUUCCUUCCAACCAUGCAGCCUGAAUUUGGGCUGACUGGUUUGCACGUGUUGAUGUGUGGCUUGUAACUCUUGCAGGGAUUGCUUCAGGAUGUUCAUCUCUUCGGCUUCUCUGUAAACAGCUCAAGGGCAGAGGCCCUGUCAUCUCAUCCACAUUUAAUCCCCCUGCAGUACCUAGGAAAGGACAGGGUUGUCAUCAGCAUGGGGUGAGAGGGCUGGCAGAUGGGGGGAGCAGCCAGAAGGGUGGUCAGGAGAAUGCAAGGCAGGGUCCAGCCUCCUCCAAACGGAUCGCCAUGGCACUGCAGACCCAAGGAACAGGCCUAGCAAAGGCAAAGGGAUCGUGGGGCCUCAGCAUCCUGAGGAGGAAAGUGCUGAAGUGGGCUCUGGUCCCAUAGAUCCCUGCAGUUACCAGAAAAACAGGAGCAUAAAGCAGUCAGGCUCAACACAGAUUGCGGCUGUGGCUCAGUGACAGAGCACUUGCUCAGUGUAAACCCCUGGGUUUAAGUCCCUAACAC
RNAcentral lists this long non-coding RNA (2350 nucleotides) under Mus musculus (house mouse). Its description in RNAcentral is "long non-coding RNA chr11:105312066-105314416". The record is from RNAcentral. Lineage: Eukaryota; Metazoa; Chordata; Mammalia; Rodentia; Muridae.